RNAcentral lists this ribosomal RNA (514 nucleotides) under uncultured bacterium. RNAcentral's name for it is "partial 16S ribosomal RNA". It matches the Rfam family "Bacterial small subunit ribosomal RNA", at positions 899 to 1397 of the family's 1533-position model. The record is from RNAcentral.
ACUCAAAGGAAUUGACGGGGGCUCACACAAGCGGUGGAGCAUGUGGCUUAAUUCGAGGCUACGCGAAGAACCUUAUCCCGGACUUGACAUGUGCGAAAGCGCCUGCAGGUAGGACCCGGAAACGGGGACGAACGGUAUCCAACCCGGAAGCAGGUACAGGUGCUGCAUGGCUGUCGUCAGCUCGUGUCGUGAGAUGUCGGGUUAAGUCCCAUAACGAGCGAAACCCUUACCCCUAGUUGCAACCUAACGGGCACUCUAGGGGGACUGCCGGUGUCAAACCGGAGGAAGGUGGGGAUGACGUCAAGUCCUCAUGGCCUUUAUGUCCGGGGCUGCACACGUGCUACAAUGGCGUGGACAGAGGGACGCGACGCGGCGACGCGAAGCCAACCCCCGAAAGCACGCCCCAGUUCAGAUCGCAGGCUGCAACCCGCCUGCGUGAAGCCGGAAUCGCUAGUAAUCGCGGGUCAGCAACACCGCGGUGAAUGUGUUCCUGAGCCUUGCACACACCGCCCGU